UUAUGUGUGGAGAGCAUGAGAUUUAUAAAUUAUAAAGUGAUAAAAUCAUAUUUUACUUAUACAUGUAAAUGGGGAAAGCUAUGUCUGAAAUCAUCAAAUUUGUUCAUGUUAUGAUUAUUUUGUUUUAUCUAUUUCUUGUUGCAACGAUUAUUGAUGGUAAACCUUUUCUUUAUCAUUUUUAAAUUUCCUUAUUUACUUCAUAUAUAAUAUUUUUUUUUUAUCUUAUUAAUUUUAGUUACAUUCUUUUAUUCCCUUUAUUCAAUACAGCGGCACGUACCCCAUGUUUACAAGAUUCUGAUUGUCCACAGAAUAUGUGUAUUUAUCCUUUUAUACCAGGGUGUUUUUCUGGAUAUUGUAGGUGUUAGGAUGAUGCAAUAAAGCACACAAACUGCUCUAGUAAAAUAUUUCACGAGUUGUCAUUUAGUUAUUA
RNAcentral lists this long non-coding RNA (430 nucleotides) under Trifolium pratense (red clover). RNAcentral describes it as "long non-coding RNA (TPRA_LNC011556)". Lineage: Eukaryota; Viridiplantae; Streptophyta; Magnoliopsida; Fabales; Fabaceae. The record is from RNAcentral.